UUUUGCUUUAUGCAAAACUACAUACAAUAAUGCGAUGUUUUGUACCGUAUGUACAAAACUCGGCAGAUAAACAGUGAGGCUGAAUUUCUGCCGAACUGUUUAUCAUAC
RNAcentral lists this small RNA (108 nucleotides) under Treponema denticola ATCC 35405. RNAcentral describes it as "TD-2 RNA". It matches the Rfam family "TD-2 RNA". From Rfam's summary of the family: non coding RNA found in Treponema denticola Lineage: Bacteria; Pseudomonadati; Spirochaetota; Spirochaetia; Treponematales; Treponemataceae. The record is from Rfam by way of RNAcentral.